GCAGUAGAACGCUGAAGACUUUAGCUUGCUAAAGUUGGAAGAGUUGCGAACGGGUGAGUAACGCGUAGGUAACCUGCCUACUAGCGGGGGAUAACUAUUGGAAACGAUAGCUAAUACCGCAUAACAGCAUUUAACCCAUGUUAGAUGCUUGAAAGGAGCAAUUGCUUCACUAGUAGAUGGACCUGCGUUGUAUUAGCUAGUUGGUGAGGUAACGGCUCACCAAGGCGACGAUACAUAGCCGACCUGAGAGGGUGAUCGGCCACACUGGGACUGAGACACGGCCCAGACUCCUACGGGAGGCAGCAGUAGGGAAUCUUCGGCAAUGGGGGCAACCCUGACCGAGCAACGCCGCGUGAGUGAAGAAGG
This 366-nucleotide ribosomal RNA is filed under the name Streptococcus lutetiensis. RNAcentral describes it as "bacterial SSU rRNA". It matches the Rfam family "Bacterial small subunit ribosomal RNA", at positions 57 to 414 of the family's 1533-position model. Lineage: Bacteria; Bacillati; Bacillota; Bacilli; Lactobacillales; Streptococcaceae. The record is from RNAcentral.